Molecule: ribosomal RNA, 506 nt
Filed under: Pseudomonas sp. acu87
Lineage: Bacteria; Pseudomonadati; Pseudomonadota; Gammaproteobacteria; Pseudomonadales; Pseudomonadaceae
Description: bacterial SSU rRNA
Rfam family: Bacterial small subunit ribosomal RNA
Source: RNAcentral
GGGGGACAACGUCUCGAAAGGGACGCUAAUACCGCAUACGUCCUACGGGAGAAAGUGGGGGCUCUUCGGACCUCACGCUAUCAGAUGAGCCUAGGUCGGAUUAGCUAGUUGGUGAGGUAAUGGCUCACCAAGGCGACGAUCCGUAACUGGUCUGAGAGGAUGAUCAGUCACACUGGAACUGAGACACGGUCCAGACUCUAUACGGGAGGCAGCAGUGGGGAAUAUUGGACAAUGGGCGAAAGCCUGAUCCAGCCAUGCCGCGUGUGUGAAGAAGGUCUUCGGAUUGUAAAGCACUUUAAGUUGGGAGGAAGGGUUGUACGUUAAUACCGUGCAAUUUUGACGUUACCGACAGAAUAAGCACCGGCUAACUCUGUGCCAGCAGCCGCGGUAAUACAGAGGGUGCAAGCGUUAAUCGGAAUUACUGGGCGUAAAGCGCGCGUAGGUGGUUUGUUAAGUUGGAUGUGAAAUCCCCGGGCUCAACCUGGGAACUGCAUCCAAAACUGGCA